CUGUGAGGUACACCUGGGAAUUCUUCCAGUUAUACGUCUCUAUUUCACAUUUGUAGUGUAUAUACUGUUUUUUGCUCAUAGUCUCCUCAAUUUGUCUGGAUUCCUAAAGCUACUUAUCAGAACAUUAGCAACUAUCAGACCCCGCUCUAACUUCCUUCCUUCAAAAUACUGUAACAUUGUGGCCUAACUCCUCUCUAAAGUUUAAUUUGUUUGCUGAAGCUUCUUCUGUGCUUUGUUUGCAUAUCUAAACUGUAUAUAAGGAAAUAAUGGAGGAACUGUUUCUCCCGAAUUGUCUACAAUUUUAAACAAACAAGUACUUUACAGUUACAAUGCUGGUGUGUGUGGCAAACCUAGCCAUCUAUUUAUAUGCAAGACUGAGUUGGUUUGACAAUUUGGGGUUCCCGAACAGACUAAAGACAUAUUGUUCAUCAGUCAAACCAACUACUGAACAGUGAGACCACCACUUAGAAACUGCAAGAUACUAAAUGGUCGGAUGGGUGACCGUUGUUCGUAUGGUCGA
Molecule: non-coding RNA, 520 nt
Organism: Pelobates cultripes (western spadefoot toad)
Lineage: Eukaryota; Metazoa; Chordata; Amphibia; Anura; Pelobatidae
Source: the annotation of a GenBank genome assembly